UAAGGCUUUUCACCAGUGUGUAUCCGUAAAUGAUCUUUCAAUUCUUUAUCUUGACUAAAUUGCUUAAAACAAAUUUCACACUUGUAAGGCUUUUCACCAGUGUGUAUCCGUAAAUGAUCUUUCAAUUCUUUAUCUUGACUAAACUGCUUAAAACAAAUUUCACACUUGUAAGGCUUUUCACCAGUGUGUAUCCGUAAAUGAUCUUUCAAUUCUUUAUCUUGACUAAAUUGCUUAAAACAAAUUUCACACUUGUAAGGAUUUUC
Molecule: long non-coding RNA, 263 nt
Organism: Diabrotica virgifera virgifera (western corn rootworm)
Lineage: Eukaryota; Metazoa; Arthropoda; Insecta; Coleoptera; Chrysomelidae
Exons: 3
Source: RefSeq, a predicted model, not a curated record